This 406-nucleotide ribosomal RNA is filed under the name uncultured bacterium. RNAcentral's name for it is "partial 16S ribosomal RNA". It matches the Rfam family "Bacterial small subunit ribosomal RNA", at positions 29 to 526 of the family's 1533-position model. The record is from RNAcentral.
AUUGAACGCUGGCGGCAGGCCUAACACAUGCAAGUCGAGCGCGCGGCGGACGGGUGAGUAAGGUAUGGAGAUCUGACCGAUAGCGGGGGCUAACUACGGGAAACGGUGGCUAAUACCGCAUACUAUCGGAUGAACGCAUACGGGAUUAGCGAGUAGGUGGGGUAAAGGCUCACCUAGGCGACGAUCCAUAGCCGGUCGGAGAGGAUGAUCUGCCACACUGGGACGGAGACACGGCCCAGACUCCUACGGGAGGCAGCAGUAGGGAAUCUUGCGCAAUGGGCGAAAGCCUGAUGGAGCCAUGCCGCGUGAGUGAAGAAGGACUUAGGGUCGUAAAGCACUUUCAUCGGGGAGGCGUUACCCACCGAGAAAGCAACGGCUAACUCCGUGCCAGCAGCCGCGGUAAUAC